RNAcentral lists this ribosomal RNA (253 nucleotides) under uncultured bacterium. Its description in RNAcentral is "partial 16S ribosomal RNA". It matches the Rfam family "Bacterial small subunit ribosomal RNA", at positions 524 to 776 of the family's 1533-position model. The record is from RNAcentral.
UACGGGGGGGGCAAGCGUUGUUCGGAAUUACUGGGCGUAAAGGGCUCGUAGGCGGCCAACUAAGUCAGACGUGAAAUCCCUCGGCUUAACCGGGGAACUGCGUCUGAUACUGGAUGGCUGGAGUUUGGGAGAGGGAUGCGGAAUUCCAGGUGUAGCGGUGAAAUGCGUAGAUAUCAGGAGGAACACCAAUGGCGAAGGCAGCUCGCUGGGACGUGACUGACGCUGAGACGCGAAAGCGUGGGGAGCAAACAGG